UAAAAAAAAUUGUAGGUGCCGAUUUUUUUUAUUUUGGAAAUACGAUUUUUCGAGAAUUAAAAAAAAUUGGCUCCUACAAUUUUUGUAAAAAACU
Molecule: non-coding RNA, 94 nt
Organism: Paramuricea clavata
Lineage: Eukaryota; Metazoa; Cnidaria; Anthozoa; Malacalcyonacea; Plexauridae
Source: the annotation of a GenBank genome assembly